RNAcentral lists this ribosomal RNA (506 nucleotides) under uncultured bacterium. Its description in RNAcentral is "partial 16S ribosomal RNA". It matches the Rfam family "Bacterial small subunit ribosomal RNA", at positions 29 to 523 of the family's 1533-position model. The record is from RNAcentral.
AGUGAACGCUGGCGGUAGGCCUAACACAUGCAAGUCGAACGGCAGCACAGGAGAGCUUGCUCUCUGGGUGGCGAGUGGCGGACGGGUGAGGAAUACAUCGGAAUCUACUCUGUCGUGGGGGAUAACGUAGGGAAACUUACGCUAAUACCGCAUACGACCUACGGGUGAAAGCAGGGGACCUUCGGGCCUUGCGCGAUUGAAUGAGCCGAUGUCGGAUUAGCUAGUUGGCGGGGUAAAGGCCCACCAAGGCGACGAUCCGUAGCUGGUCUGAGAGGAUGAUCGGCCACACUGGAACGGAGACACGGUCCAGACUCCUACGGGAGGCAGCAGUGGGGAAUAUUGGACAAUGGGCGCAAGCCUGAUCCAGCCAUACCGCGUGGGUGAAGAAGGCCUUCGGGUUGUAAAGCCCUUUUGUUGGGAAAGAAAUCCAGCUGGCUAAUACCCGGUUGGGAUGACGGUACCCAAAGAAUAAGCACCGGCUAACUUCGUGCCAGCCGCCGCGGUAA